Long non-coding RNA from Dermacentor silvarum, 656 nucleotides. RefSeq lists it as uncharacterized. The record is from RefSeq and is a predicted model, not a curated record. Lineage: Eukaryota; Metazoa; Arthropoda; Arachnida; Ixodida; Ixodidae. The transcript is spliced from 4 exons.
UCAUACACGCUCCGUUAAGAAUGCCGACGAUUUUGAGCACUAAUACUCUAAUCACUUUCGCUGGAUUUGUGCUUCUGUGCGCGAUACAAAGUGAAGGCCCCUUAUCCGCGCUGGCAGAUCCAUAUCCUGGGCCAGGUCUGCCAAGGAAAAACUCCGCAAAGCGAAGUGGAAUGGGUCAGCUAGGUAGCACUGGAGAACUGUCAAAUAGUCAUGAGCCUCAACCACGAAGGGCUAUACAAAGUGGUAAUCACCAAACAAUGCAUACAAAUAUGAAAACAAAACAACAAAAGAAAAGUGCUGGAACACCCAGCCGGCAUGCACGGAGCGCGGAACGCGAAGCGAGCCGUCUAAGAAGAAUUAAACAGUUAAGCAGAGGUUUAAGAGUUCCGACUCUCUAAAUCAGCAUCCUCAUCACCAUUUGACAGAAUGUUUACAUAUACAAAAUCUGUGACAUCUGACAGCUUUCAGUCUAGACAGUCAAUGGCGUUCCUCGCAAAACGGUGCAUCUUGAAACAAGGGUGCUUACGUUUGCCGGCGUCCAAAUGUGCCAUGCAGGCCAAAAUGCUUAAGAAAAAUUGUAAUUCAAGGAGCAGCACCGGCGAACCUUAUUGACAACUUGUAGCGCCUGCCGUACAGACAAUGCGUUACAAAAGGGA